Molecule: non-coding RNA, 84 nt
Filed under: Isochrysis galbana
Lineage: Eukaryota; Haptophyta; Isochrysidales; Isochrysidaceae
Source: RNAcentral
AAGAUCGUGGCGCGGCAUCGUGCUCUGCAGGGUACCAUGGCUGCUCAGGUCAGCAAGAAGAGGAAGUUCGUCGCGGAUGGCGUC